This 268-nucleotide unclassified non-coding RNA is filed under the name fungal sp. RNAcentral's name for it is "partial internal transcribed spacer region". The stretch from base 1 to 46 matches the Rfam family "Eukaryotic small subunit ribosomal RNA", at positions 1786 to 1831 of the family's 1831-position model. Lineage: Eukaryota; Fungi. The record is from RNAcentral.
AAGUCGUAACAAGGUCUCCGUAGGUGAACCUGCGGAGGGAUCAUCAAAGAAUUAUUCACACAGAAAAGAUUGGAGGGGGGGGAGUUUGAGAGAUUCACGUCUCUCGUUCGCUUCUUCUGAUCUUUUCUGAACAAACAAACAUACAUGACUAGGAAAAACAAAUUUGAUUUGGUUUGACAAACAAGAAGUUCUUGGCUGAUAAGUAGCAUUGAUUUGGAAUGUGAAUCUAUAUCAAUACAACUUUCAACAACGGAUCUCUUGGCUCUCA